Molecule: long non-coding RNA, 551 nt
Organism: Clupea harengus (Atlantic herring)
Lineage: Eukaryota; Metazoa; Chordata; Actinopteri; Clupeiformes; Clupeidae
Source: Ensembl
ACGCGACGCCACCCGAUUGGGCCUCUCUCCUCCUCCUCCGAUGACGGGCCUGUGAUGUAUAGCGCUCCCGGUGUGUCUACCAGGCUCUGACUGCAGUACAUCCAUGGCCCUGCUGUUUACCUAUCUGUCUCUCCGACGCCUGAUUACUGUCUUCAGUUUCGAGGACACCUCCUUGCUACGUCAGAUCAACUCCUUGCUACGUCACUGCGCUGACCAGGUGGAGAGAGGCAUCAAAAAGAGAGAGAGAGGAAGAAAGAGAGAGAGAGAGAGAGGACAGUCCAGCUGAGCCUAGAGGCUCAAGGCUAGGCUGGACAGAUUUUACACUUAAAUUAGGAGCAGCAAACUAUUUAUUACAGAAGCAAUGAGGUCAAAGCCAGUAUCUAAUUAUCAUUCCGGCAAGAAUCAGAGAGAGGAGAGAAAGAGGGAAGGACAGAGAAAAGAAAAGGAGACUGAAAGGAAGCGAGUGAGAGGAAGAGACAAAUGAUGGAAUGGUGUAUGGGGGGUUCAAUGAAAGGUGUGAAAUAGAAAGAGAUCAAAGAAACCAAAAAGGA